UCAAGGACGAUCUGAAUACAAUAGACCAGGCAUUUCCAUUUCCUUCUUCUCGCUCGAUGCCAUUCACCGUGUUCCUUCAAGCUCGCAGCUGUUCCAUCAACAAGCACAUUUCUCCAUGUGAUCGCAUUCGUACGUUGUUUAGCAUUACAAACGAAAGUUUUUUUUUUUUUUUUUAUUUUUUUUAGGAUGAAAGAUAACUAUCGAUACGUCUUUGGAAGGUUUCUUUUGAUAGGUUUGUUUUCUCAUUAAUGCUAGAACUACCAAAGUUGUCAGAAGUCGGUUAAUAAUUGUAUAAUCAGAACAGUUCUGCGAAUGUACAAUGUCGCAUUUUUAGAGAUUUGAUAUGUGAUGAGAGUAAGAGAUAUAAAGGGAAGUUUAUAUCUUUUUUAUUAUGGUACAAACUUUUUCUUCACUCCAUUUCUUACUUUAAUUUCUUUGAUAGAAUCGAUGGAAUAUUGAUACAUCUUCGGAAGAUUCUUUCAUAUAAUUUCUCACUAACACUAAAACUAUCAAAUGUCUAUAAUUUCUUAAAGCAGUUUUGCGGAUUACAAUAUCGCUGUUUUAGAGAAUUGAACGAUUUUUCUAAAAUAUGUUCUAAGGUUUAUAUUUUUUUAUUAUAAUAUAAGCUUUUCCCCCAUUUCUUGCACUCUAAUAUUUUCCUGAUAGACUUUUUAUACUUUAGUCGUCAGUAGCUCUAGUGUUAAAGAGAUAUCGAUUAUUAUUCCUUAAUAAUUACUUUUCCGAUGUUAUAUGACUACGCUGUUGGACACUUUUUUGUGAGAAAAAAAGUAAAUACGCAGAACUGCACGAAGUUUGCAUGAGGUGACAUAAUAAAUUCAGCAAACGUCGCAAUCGAUGGAUUGACGCCAAUACUUUAAUCUUAAUUGCACGAUGAGAAAAAAAAAGUCGGACGCUGAUUGCCCGGAUCAAAGUUGAACGCAACGUGAACAUAUUUCUUCGAAUGAACUACUGAAAAAAUUAAAUUACAAAAUAUGAAAAUAGAAAAAGUGACAAGUAUGGGUGAAGGUGAAGGCAAGAAAAUUAUAUGAGAAGGAAGAAGAAAAGAAGAAAAAGAAUUGAAUAAGACGAGCAUUAACAUUGUAACGAUAGAUAGCAAGAUGAAUGAGAUGAACUUUGCGAAAUUCCUCGAAGAAUCAAAGUACGCGGAGAACGAAUUAAUCUAAAAAUAUUUAACUUUUUUACUUACCGCAUUCUGAGAAGCCACCACGUAAAAUAUAGCGCUGACGACGACGUAGAUUGUCCCGAGCAUUCUUCCAACACUU
Long non-coding RNA from Frieseomelitta varia, 1283 nucleotides. RefSeq lists it as uncharacterized. Lineage: Eukaryota; Metazoa; Arthropoda; Insecta; Hymenoptera; Apidae. The record is from RefSeq and is a predicted model, not a curated record. The transcript is spliced from 3 exons.